Oncorhynchus kisutch (coho salmon) is the source of this 3455-nucleotide RNA transcript. RefSeq lists it as uncharacterized. NCBI's taxonomy places the organism in Eukaryota, Metazoa, Chordata, Actinopteri, Salmoniformes, Salmonidae. The transcript has 9 exons. The record is from RefSeq and is a predicted model, not a curated record.
UUCCUGUUCUUUAUAAGUCGAUGUCAGACAGAGACAGACAGCAGUACACAGCCAGCUGUGGUGAUAUGAUGUCACUGCUGAGGAGUUUGCUCUUGUUCUACUUCUCAUUCAACAAAUUGACCACAGAAGCAGGAAUCCAAAGAUGACUUCAGCUACCAGUAUUCUGAUUUUUGCGAUCCAUUUAGGCUGUAUCAGAGCUGGAAAAUCUUCUGAGACAUUUGUCAAACUGGAGUGUGAAGAAGAAUACCGUGGGGUUUAUGGUCAGCAGUCAUUGCUGGAGUGUAUUGUCAAAGCUGUUCAGAACGUGACCAUCUUGACGGUGACCUGGAAGAGGGUGGGAGGUGAUGCACCUUUGUUGGAAUACCAUAAACAUGCAAAUGCCUCAACCCUUGGGUUUAAAUUUGCUGAGCCAUCCUGGAACAAGGAUAAUAUGAAUGUGUCCUUGUUGUUGACAAAUACCAAGAUGGCCGACAAGGGGGAGUAUGAAUGCAUGGUGAGAACAGACAGUGGUGAUGCUACAGCUACAGGCAGCCUCAGUGUCACAGCUAUGUACAAAUCACCAACCAUGAGUUCCAGUCCUGAGAAUUGCAUAAAACAGAACACAGACGUGACCAUUUUCUGCAACUCUACAGGCGGGCACCAGAAAGGGUUGAUCUGGUGGUUUGACGAGUUUGGCACGAACUGCACAGGCAGUGCUGAACUCGUGGCCAAAAAGACAGACGACACACUAUUUAGCCUCUCCAGUAAACUGACAGUUCUGAAGGCUACAUACAGUGGUUCCACAAACUACUCAUGCACAGUGCACAACACCAAUGGAGUCCAGGAGGGGAAGGCAUCAUUUGAGAUCCCGUUUGUAUGUUCAGCAGGUUCAAAAUAUGAUUUUGCUUCUGACUCCACUACCCAGUGGCUUGCCCCAGUUGGGUUCAUAGGAUCUCUGGUCAUUGGACUCCUUGCUGCGCUGCUGAUAUUUAAGAGGCGCUCUGUCCAACGGGCUCGAAGGCAGUCCACCUUCCCAUUAAUGACCGAUCUAUGGUCGAGCAGAACGUCAGAGCCAUACCUAAAUUGUAAGACGCCUACAGACGUCUUACAUCCCCGAUGAUCAUACGGGUGAAGUAAUAGCCCAGGAUCUCAAAGACUGGCAUUGUGGAAGAUGAGUGAAGACCAACAGGUGUGCAUGACAAUUGACAGCGGGAGCAACAUGAUAAAAGCAUUGCCCUUGAACAACUGGACCCGCAUGCAGUGCUUUGGGCACAGGCUUCACCUCGCCAUCGGUCACAGUGGCCACCCAACUGACAGGCACCACGAUGAUGAGGCAGAAGGAAACGCUAUCCUUACUGUCUAAAUAGUGACAGUACACAUGACCAGCAUUCCAGUCUUUAGUAACUGAUUCGUUAACUGGCAGUCUCUGGAAGGGACUGUUUCCUUGACGAUCAAUAAGGGAUUUGUCACUAUCCUUUGAUGGACUGUUUCCUGUUAAGUGUCCAAUGACAGUCACUUUGGCACUCGGGUCAUUCUUAUCGAGGCAUUUGUUUCUUCACAAUCUACUGCUGAUGGCAGCCUUUAAAGUCUGUGGUUGAUUACAAAUGAUAUGUUUCUAUACAGGGUUGCCAUGGUGUUACUACACUCUAGAUUCUACCACUGUAGAACAUUGGUAUACUGUAAUACCAGGUAAUCUAAUCACUGUACACACUAUACUACAAGAUGCAUGGUUUAACAUUCCACAUUUCCUCUACUGUAGAUUCUACCAUAUUGGUUGUUAUUACUAUACUGUAACACCAGACCAUCUAAUCACUAAUGUUACACGCCGUUCUAUAACAAGGUUGUGCGAACAUUCAAUUUGAACACUGUACUUUUCUGAAAACAUGUAGUAAAACUGGUUACACGUCUGAAAGAGGGUUUCACAAGACUGCACAACAACCACUCUUAUAACCAAAAGCCAGUUGGUUGCUCCUACCACAGAUUUAGUUUUAGGCCUUCCUCUUUUUCCUUGUCUUGUUCGAUCUGCUAGUGUAAAAAUGCAGAUUUAUAUCUUGCUCAGAGCGCACGUCCAGGAAAUGCAAUGGAAUGAAACUGUAAACAUGUUGAUCAUCAGGUUUCAAGAGAUACUCCUGCAUCUGCCAGUAUUCUCCCUGGGCUUUGAUUCUGCUACAAUAUUUCUGGGGAGAAUGUUGCGCCCAAUUCCCUAUAUAGUGCACUACUUUUGACCAGAGGGAAUAGGGUGCCAUUUGGAAUGCAACCUUUGACUUGACUUUGUGUUUUAUCAUUUUUGGCACUGAAUGUAAUAUAUAACCAUUAUCAGAAGUCAGCCUGUCACUCCUCCCACAGCUGUUUGUUUUUGGCCUUCCUCAUUCUCCUUUCUUGUCUGGCGCCAUCUGCUGGUGUACAAUUCAGAUCUACAUUUAUAUCUUGCCCAGGGCUCGCCUCCAUGAAGGCAGUGCAAUGGAACGCAACUGUAAACCUGAACAACGAGAGUCAAUUAGUAAUCUGAGAGAAUUAGUUAUCAGUUUCAAGUUGAACAUGUAAAUGUUUACCUGGUGGUUGAUUAUGAUGCUUUUGUAAAUGCCACAAUUGUUUUAUGUUAUGAAAGAGGCUGCUACUGUCUUAAUAUUGUAGUUAUAGAAUGACUGUUUCAGUUCCCAUUAUGUUUUACUGCUAUCAUGUUGCUGAUGGCAUUACGUAUAGACUGACUAAUCUGUUGUAUUGUGGCAGCUUGAGGUGAAUGGUGUCCACGACAAGACUCCACCUCCCAUAAUUCCUGGCAAAUCUUGUAUCAGUUCCUUCUUACUUCAGUACAUGAUUGGAAGUUGGCACUAUAGAUACAGCUAGAAUGAUUCAUCAAUUUAUAUGCUACCCUGCUUGGCACUGGUCAGGGCUCUUCCAAAGAAGCUUGGGCUUUUGGUUUAGCUCGACUAUAGUGGUUUGAGAUGUUCAUGUGUAAAGUUUUUUUAUUUUGCAGUUAUUUUGCAGUUAUUUUGCAGUUAUUUUGCAGUUCAACUAAAUGUUUUCUUUGUAUGAAGUGUAUAUCAAGCGAUUUGUUGAUGUGCCUGCUUGAGGCCUACUCCACUUACGAUUUUGUUGUCCCCCUGUUUUUUUUGUAUAUUUCACACUUUGAAAUUCCUUUUCAAAUCCCACACCUUGACACUGUUCAGGUUUUGUAAAUAGGUUGAAGAUUUUAAUUGUAGUUUUUAAUUACUACAAUCUUUUUUUAAUUUUUAUGAAAAUCAUAAUUGAUGGGGAGGCUAAUCUGAAAUGUUCUUAUGUUCUAAGGUCUAAACUGUUUUAAUAUGUUUUAAGGAACCAAAAGCAGUAAAACCAUUACUUAUUAAUUUUUAUUUUUUAUCCAUCAUUAUGCAUUAUAUAAGUAGUUACAGUACCUAAAGACAAUUUAUUUUUUGCCCAGCGACAGUACAUCGUUGCAUUCAUUAGUGCACACCGUAGCAAAACAAUUUGCAACG